ACACAUGCAAGUCGAACGCCUGUAGCAAUACAGGAGUGGCGCACGGGUGAGUAACGCGUGGGAACCUGCCCUGGAGUGGGGGAUAACCGAGAGAAAUUUCGGCUAAUACCGCAUACGUCCUGAGGGAGAAAGAUUUAUCGCUCUAGGAGGGGCCCGCGUCGGAUUAGCUAGUUGGUGGGGUAACGGCCUACCAAGGCAACGAUCCGUAGCUGGUCUGAGAGGAUGAUCAGCCACACUGGGACUGAGACACGGCCCAGACUCCUACGGGAGGCAGCAGUGGGGAAUAUUGGACAAUGGGGGAAACCCUGAUCCAGCAAUGCCGCGUGAGUGAUGAAGGCCUUAGGGUUGUAAAGCUCUUUCGGCGGGGACGAUGAUGACGGUACCCGCAGAAGAAGCCCCGGCUAACUUCGUGCCAGCAGCCGCGGUGAUACGUAGGGUCCGAGCGUUGUCCGGAAUUAUUGGGCGUAAAGGGCUUGUAGGCGGUUUGUUGCGUCGGAAGUGAAAACUCAGGGCUUAACCCUGAGCCUGCUUCCGAUACGGGCAAACUAGAGGGAUGCAGGGGAGAAUGGAAUUCCUGGUGGAGCGGUGGAAUGCGCAGAUAUCAGGAGGAACACCGGUGGCGAAGGCGGUUCUCUGGGCAUUUCCUGACGCUGAGAAGCGAAAGCGUGGGGAGCAAACAGGCUUAGAUACCCUGGUAGUCCACGCCCUAAACGAUGUCAACUGGUUGUUGGGUCUUCACUGACUCAGUAACGAAGCUAACGCGUGAAGUUGACCGCCUGGGGAGUACGGCCGCAAGGUUGAA
RNAcentral lists this ribosomal RNA (802 nucleotides) under uncultured bacterium. Its description in RNAcentral is "bacterial SSU rRNA". It matches the Rfam family "Bacterial small subunit ribosomal RNA", at positions 51 to 898 of the family's 1533-position model. The record is from RNAcentral.